AGACCCGAAACCCGGUGAUCUAGCCAUGGGCAGGUUGAAGGUUGGGUAACACUAACUGGAGGACCGAACCGACUAAUGUUGAAAAAUUAGCGGAUGACCUGUGGCUGGGGGUGAAAGGCCAAUCAAACCGGGAGAUAGCUGGUUCUCCCCGAAAGCUAUUUAGGUAGCGCCUCGUGAAUUCAUCUCCGGGGGUAGAGCACUGUUUCGGCUAGGGGGCCAUCCCGGCUUACCAACCCGAUGCAAACUGCGAAUACCGGAGAAUGUUAUCACGGGAGACACACGGCGGGUGCUAACGUCCGUCGUGAAGAGGGAAACAACCCAGACCGCCAGCUAAGGUCCCAAAGUCAUGGUUAAGUGGGAAACGAUGUGGGAAGGCCCAGACAGCCAGGAUGUUGGCUUAGAAGCAGCCAUCAUUUAAAGAAAGCGUAAUAGCUCACUGGUCGAGUCGGCCUGCGCGGAAGAUGUAACGGGGCUAAACCAUGCACCGAAGCUGCGGCAGCGAACGUAUCACUUAAAGCGAUUCAGCGGGUUACGAUUGACGGAGCGAAGCGACGUCAAAGCGUAUACAAAGUC
Molecule: ribosomal RNA, 573 nt
Filed under: Salmonella enterica subsp. enterica serovar Infantis
Lineage: Bacteria; Pseudomonadati; Pseudomonadota; Gammaproteobacteria; Enterobacterales; Enterobacteriaceae
Also listed under: 2 other names
Description: partial 23S ribosomal RNA
Rfam family: Bacterial large subunit ribosomal RNA
Source: RNAcentral